UACGAAGGGGGCUAGCGUUGCUCGGAAUCACUGGGCGUAAAGGGUGCGUAGGCGGGUCUUUAAGUCAGGGGGGAAAUCCUGGAGCUCAACUCCAGAACUGCCUUUGAUACUGAAGAUCUUGAGUCCGGGAGAGGUGAGUGGAACUGCGAGUGUAGAGGUGAAAUUCGUAGAUAUUCGCAAGAACACCAGUGGCGAAGGCGGCUCACUGGCCCGGUAUUGACGCUGAGGCACGAAAGCGUGGGGAGCAAACAGG
Molecule: ribosomal RNA, 253 nt
Filed under: uncultured bacterium
Lineage: Bacteria
Description: partial 16S ribosomal RNA
Rfam family: Bacterial small subunit ribosomal RNA
Source: RNAcentral